RNAcentral lists this ribosomal RNA (253 nucleotides) under uncultured bacterium. RNAcentral describes it as "partial 16S ribosomal RNA". It matches the Rfam family "Bacterial small subunit ribosomal RNA", at positions 524 to 776 of the family's 1533-position model. The record is from RNAcentral.
UACAGAGGUCUCAAGCGUUGUUCGGAUUCAUUGGGCGUAAAGGGUGCGUAGGUGGCGUGGUAAGUCGGGUGUGAAAUUUCGGAGCUUAACUCCGAAACUGCAUUCGAUACUGCCGUGCUUGAGGACUGGAGAGGAGACUGGAAUUUACGGUGUAGCGGUGAAAUGCGCAGAUAUCAGGAGGAGCACCGGUGGCGAAGGCGGGUCUCUGGGCCGUAACUGACGCUGAGGAGCGAAAGCGUGGGGAGCGAACAGG